GUGAGGAAUAUUGGACAAUGGGCGCAAGCCUGAUCCAGCCAUGCCGCGUGCAGGAAGACGCAUCUAUGGUGUGUAAACUGCUUUUGUACGGGAAGAAACACUCCCUCGUGAGGGAGCUUGACGGUACCGUAAGAAUAAGGAUCGGCUAACUCCGUGCCAGCAGCCGCGGUAAUACGGAGGAUCCAAGCGUUAUCCGGAAUCAUUGGGUUUAAAGGGUCCGUAGGCAGUUUAAUAAGUCAGUGGUGAAAGCCCAUCGCUCAACGAUGGAACGGCCAUUGAUACUGUUAGACUUGAAUUACAAGGAAGUAACUAGAAUAUGUAGUGUAGCGGUGAAAUGCUUAGAUAUUACAUGGAAUACCAAUUGCGAAGGCAGGUUACUACUUGUGGAUUGACGCUGAUGGACGAAAGCGUGGGGAGCGAACAGGAUUAGAUACCCGUGUAGUCC
This 445-nucleotide ribosomal RNA is filed under the name uncultured bacterium. RNAcentral's name for it is "partial 16S ribosomal RNA". It matches the Rfam family "Bacterial small subunit ribosomal RNA", at positions 354 to 796 of the family's 1533-position model. The record is from RNAcentral.